This 429-nucleotide ribosomal RNA is filed under the name Chloroflexota bacterium. RNAcentral's name for it is "Chloroflexi bacterium partial 16S ribosomal RNA". It matches the Rfam family "Bacterial small subunit ribosomal RNA", at positions 355 to 776 of the family's 1533-position model. Lineage: Bacteria; Bacillati; Chloroflexota. The record is from RNAcentral.
UGGGGAAUAUUGCACAAUGGGCGCAAGCCUGAUGCAGCCAUGCCGCGUGUAUGAAGAAGGCCUUCGGGUUGUAAAGUACUUUCAGUCGGGAGGAAGGUGGUAAGGUUAAUAACCUUAUCAAUUGACGUUACCGACAGAAGAAGCACCGGCUAACUCCGUGCCAGCAGCCGCGGUAAUACGGAGGGUGCAAGCGUUAAUCGGAAUUACUGGGCGUAAAGCGCACGCAGGCGGUUGAUUGAGUCAGAUGUGAAAUCCCCGGGCUUAACCCGGGAAUUGCAUCUGAUACUGGUCAGCUAGAGUCUUGUAGAGGGGGGUAGAAUUCCAUGUGUAUCGGUGAAAUGCGUAGGGAUGUGGAGGAAUACCGGUGGCGAAGGCGGCCCCCUGGACAAAGACUGACGCUCAGGUGCGAAAGCGUGGGGAGCAAACAGG